UUUUUUUUUUUUUGUCGAUAUGUCUGACGAAAAUACUGCUGCAGUUGUAAUAUCAACAAAGCAAAAUCAUUAUGAAAAAGUAAUUAAAUAUUCAAAAUCAAACUUUUGAAUAACGAAAUUCGUUUUUUUUUUUUACAUUUUAUUAAUUUAUUUAAAUUCGUAUCUUCCAGUCAGAGACGGAUGAUAAACUUAUACAAGACAAAGCGGGUUCAAUGUCAGAAAAUACGAUGCGAAAAUAUGGGCAAAUUAUAUCCAAAGAACUGGGAACAAAUGAGAAGACAGUUUCGAAAACUAUUGCC
Cinara cedri is the source of this 299-nucleotide non-coding RNA. The record is from the annotation of a GenBank genome assembly. Lineage: Eukaryota; Metazoa; Arthropoda; Insecta; Hemiptera; Aphididae.